This is a long non-coding RNA of Melospiza georgiana, 225 nucleotides long. RefSeq lists it as uncharacterized. The record is from RefSeq and is a predicted model, not a curated record. The transcript is spliced from 3 exons. Lineage: Eukaryota; Metazoa; Chordata; Aves; Passeriformes; Passerellidae.
CCGCUUCGGGUAGGGGACGCUGAGGGUGCGCAGCCGGAGGAUGGAGGAGCUCGUCCUCCCUGGUGGCCUCAGUUGGGUGCCUGUCAUCAUCCUCCUUGUCCCCGUCACCGUCAGAGCCAGUCUCAUCCGAGUUGUCCUCCAGGUAUGUCCCCACCGCCACCACCAGCGUCAGCAGCAUGAUGGACAGCUUGGCCUGAGGCACAUGGAGUUUUGGGAUUGUCGUGG